GAUUAACGCUGGCGGCGUGCCUAACACAUGCAAGUCGAACGACGAAACUUUAAUGACCCCUUCGGGGAGAAUUAAAGCGGCUUAGUGGCGAACGGGUGAGUAACGCGUGCGUAUCCUGCCUUACACAAGGGGAUAGCCUUUGGCAAAGAAGAAUAACAACCUAUAAAACCAUACAAGCACAUGCCAUUCUUGUCAAAGUGAUAUCGGUGUAUGAGGGAUUUGCGUCUGAUUAGCUAGUUGGUGCGGUAAGAGCCCACCAAGGCAAUGAUCAGAAGCCGGCUGGGGAGAACGGACGGCCACAUUGGGGCAGGGACACGUCCCAGACUCCGGCGGGUGGGAGCAGGGGGGAAUUUGGCACAAUGGGGGAGACCCGGAGGCCGCGAGGCCGCGAGAUUUAGAAGUCCUGCGGGUUGUAAAGAUCUUUUGUAUAGGGAUAAAAUGACAGUACUAAACGAAUAAGGACCGGCUAACUACGUG
RNAcentral lists this ribosomal RNA (477 nucleotides) under uncultured bacterium. RNAcentral describes it as "partial 16S ribosomal RNA". It matches the Rfam family "Bacterial small subunit ribosomal RNA", at positions 28 to 507 of the family's 1533-position model. The record is from RNAcentral.